UGUUGAUGGUGUAGAGGGUGCCCUCUUACCGGAUCUCGCUCAUGGACGUGAGGCUUAUCACUCUCCCGGUGUACGGACUCCGGCGCGCCGCCGACCGCGCCUAGGGUUUCGAUCCCCUGCUUCCUCUUCGCUGGUUUUUUUCCCCUCUCGUCCUAACUAUUUUCCGUUCUUUUCAGAAAAGCCCUUCUCUAUCGCUCCUCCGCGUCGUCUCCCCCCGGAAAUCUUUACGCCGUACGCCCCUCUCCCUCCUCCGGCCCAAAACUUUGAAAUCCUACAUGUAACCCAUGUAACCUUUUUUCUUAGAGGAUGUUAGCCCGUGUAACUCAUAAUAGAUAGAUGGAAAGCACCACGCGAGGCCCAUCUUCCGCACCAGCGCUGCGGCCCAGAACGGUUCUAAGGCGGGAAUCAUGUCCAUAAUAUUGGAAAUUGAUGCUAUUUAUAGUAGAUAAAUGACUAGGAUGGGAUGGAGAAAAAAACAAUUAGAUGGAUGUGAAUGAACAUGAACUUUCUCCCUUCAUCCUCAUUUUAAAUUUUCUAGGUUUAUAGGUGUUUGUAUACAUCUAGACAUACACUAUAUUUAGAUGCAUACAAAUACUUAUAAACUAAAAAAUCCAAAACGACCUCUAAUUUGAGACGGAGGGAGUAGAUGAUAAACAUGAGGUGGG
This 665-nucleotide long non-coding RNA is filed under the name Setaria italica (foxtail millet). RNAcentral's name for it is "long non-coding RNA (SITA_LNC004137)". Lineage: Eukaryota; Viridiplantae; Streptophyta; Magnoliopsida; Poales; Poaceae. The record is from RNAcentral.